Molecule: ribosomal RNA, 587 nt
Filed under: uncultured Burkholderia sp.
Lineage: Bacteria; Pseudomonadati; Pseudomonadota; Betaproteobacteria; Burkholderiales; Burkholderiaceae
Description: bacterial SSU rRNA
Rfam family: Bacterial small subunit ribosomal RNA
Source: RNAcentral
ACUCCUACGGGAGGCAGCAGUGGGGAAUUUUGGACAAUGGGCGAAAGCCUGAUCCAGCAAUGCCGCGUGUGUGAAGAAGGCCUUCGGGUUGUAAAGCACUUUUGUCCGGAAAGAAAUCCUUGGCUCUAAUACAGUCGGGGGAUGACGGUACCGGAAGAAUAAGCACCGGCUAACUACGUGCCAGCAGCCGCGGUAAUACGUAGGGUGCAAGCGUUAAUCGGAAUUACUGGGCGUAAAGCGUGCGCAGGCGGUUCGCUAAGACCGAUGUGAAAUCCCCGGGCUUAACCUGGGAACUGCAUUGGUGACUGGCGGGCUAGAGUAUGGCAGAGGGGGGUAGAAUUCCACGUGUAGCAGUGAAAUGCGUAGAGAUGUGGAGGAAUACCGAUGGCGAAGGCAGCCCCCUGGGCCAAUACUGACGCUCAUGCACGAAAGCGUGGGGAGCAAACAGGAUUAGAUACCCUGGUAGUCCACGCCCUAAACGAUGUCAACUAGUUGUCGGGUCUUCAUUGACUUGGUAACGAAGCUAACGCGUGAAGUUGACCGCCUGGGGAGUACGGUCGCAAGAUUAAAACUCAAAGGAAUUGACG